Molecule: ribosomal RNA, 150 nt
Filed under: Vibrio sp. Lu5
Lineage: Bacteria; Pseudomonadati; Pseudomonadota; Gammaproteobacteria; Vibrionales; Vibrionaceae
Also listed under: 6 other names
Description: partial 16S ribosomal RNA
Rfam family: Bacterial small subunit ribosomal RNA
Source: RNAcentral
GAGAGGAUGAUCAGCCACACUGGAACUGAGACACGGUCCAGACUCCUACGGGAGGCAGCAGUGGGGAAUAUUGCACAAUGGGCGCAAGCCUGAUGCAGCCAUGCCGCGUGUGUGAAGAAGGCCUUCGGGUUGUAAAGCACUUUCAGUCGU